GAUAUGAACCGUUAUAACCGGCGAUUUCCGAAUGGGGAAACCCAGUGUGAUUCGUCACACUAUCAUUAACUGAAUCCAUAGGUUAAUGAGGCGAACCGGGGGAACUGAAACAUCUAAGUACCCCGAGGAAAAGAAAUCAACCGAGAUUCCCCCAGUAGCGGCGAGCGAACGGGGAGCAGCCCAGAGCCUGAAUCAGUGUGUGUGUUAGUGGAAGCGUCUGGAAAGGCGUGCGAUACAGGGUGACAGCCCCGUACACAAAAAUGCACAUACUGUGAGCUCGAUGAGUAGGGCGGGACACGUGGUAUCCUGUCUGAAUAUGGGGGGACCAUCCUCCAAGGCUAAAUACUCCUGACUGACCGAUAGUGAACCAGUACCGUGAGGGAAAGGCGAAAAGAACCCCGGCGAGGGGAGUGAAAAAGAACCUGAAACCGUGUACGUACAAGCAGUGGGAGCACGCUUAGGCGUGUGACUGCGUACCUUUUGUAUAAUGGGUCAGCGACUUAUAUUCUGUAGCAAGGUUAACCGAAUAGGGGAGCCGAAGGGAAACCGAGUCUUAACUGGGCGUUAAGUUGCAGGGUAUAGACCCGAAACCCGGUGAUCUAGCCAUGGGCAGGUUGAAGGUUGGGUAACACUAACUGGAGGACCGAACCGACUAAUGUUGAAAAAUUAGCGGAUGACUUGUGGCUGGGGGUGAAAGGCCAAUCAAACCGGGAGAUAGCUGGUUCUCCCCGAAAGCUAUUUAGGUAGCGCCUCGUGAAUUCAUCUCCGGGGGUAGAGCACUGUUUCGGCAAGGGGGUCAUCCCGACUUACCAACCCGAUGCAAACUGCGAAUACCGGAGAAUGUUAUUACGGGAGACACACGGCGGGUGCUAACGUCCGUCGUGAAGAGGGAAACAACCCAGACCGCCAGCUAAGGUCCCAAAGUCAUGGUUAAGUGGGAAACGAUGUGGGAAGGCCCAGACAGCCAGGAUGUUGGCUUAGAAGCAGCCAUCAUUUAAAGAAAGCGUAAUAGCUCACUGGUCGAGUCGGCCUGCGCGGAAGAUGUAACGGGGCUAAACCAUGCACCGAAGCUGCGGCAGCGACGCUUAUGCGUUGUUGGGUAGGGGAGCGUUCUGUAAGCCUGUGAAGGUGUGCUGUGAGGUAUGCUGGAGGUAUCAGAAGUGCGAAUGCUGACAUAAGUAACGAUAAAGCGGGUGAAAAGCCCGCUCGCCGGAAGACCAAGGGUUCCUGUCCAACGUUAAUCGGGGCAGGGUGAGUCGACCCCUAAGGCGAGGCCGAAAGGCGUAGUCGAUGGGAAACAGGUUAAUAUUCCUGUACUUGGUGUUACUGCGAAGGGGGGACGGAGAAGGCUAUGUUGGCCGGGCGACGGUUGUCCCGGUUUAAGCGUGUAGGCUGGUUUUCCAGGCAAAUCCGGAAAAUCAAGGCCGAGGCGUGAUGACGAGGCACUACGGUGCUGAAGCAACAAAUGCCCUGCUUCCAGGAAAAGCCUCUAAGCAUCAGGUAACAUCAAAUCGUACCCCAAACCGACACAGGUGGUCAGGUAGAGAAUACCAAGGCGCUUGAGAGAACUCGGGUGAAGGAACUAGGCAAAAUGGUGCCGUAACUUCGGGAGAAGGCACGCUGAUACGUAGGUGAAGCGACUUGCUCGUGGAGCUGAAAUCAGUCGAAGAUACCAGCUGGCUGCAACUGUUUAUUAAAAACACAGCACUGUGCAAACACGAAAGUGGACGUAUACGGUGUGACGCCUGCCCGGUGCCGGAAGGUUAAUUGAUGGGGUUAGCGCAAGCGAAGCUCUUGAUCGAAGCCCCGGUAAACGGCGGCCGUAACUAUAACGGUCCUAAGGUAGCGAAAUUCCUUGUCGGGUAAGUUCCGACCUGCACGAAUGGCGUAAUGAUGGCCAGGCUGUCUCCACCCGAGACUCAGUGAAAUUGAACUCGCUGUGAAGAUGCAGUGUACCCGCGGCAAGACGGAAAGACCCCGUGAACCUUUACUAUAGCUUGACACUGAACAUUGAGCCUUGAUGUGUAGGAUAGGUGGGAGGCUUUGAAGUGUGGACGCCAGUCUGCAUGGAGCCGACCUUGAAAUACCACCCUUUAAUGUUUGAUGUUCUAACGUGGACCCGUGAUCCGGGUUGCGGACAGUGUCUGGUGGGUAGUUUGACUGGGGCGGUCUCCUCCUAAAGAGUAACGGAGGAGCACGAAGGUUGGCUAAUCCUGGUCGGACAUCAGGAGGUUAGUGCAAUGGCAUAAGCCAGCUUGACUGCGAGCGUGACGGCGCGAGCAGGUGCGAAAGCAGGUCAUAGUGAUCCGGUGGUUCUGAAUGGAAGGGCCAUCGCUCAACGGAUAAAAGGUACUCCGGGGAUAACAGGCUGAUACCGCCCAAGAGUUCAUAUCGACGGCGGUGUUUGGCACCUCGAUGUCGGCUCAUCACAUCCUGGGGCUGAAGUAGGUCCCAAGGGUAUGGCUGUUCGCCAUUUAAAGUGGUACGCGAGCUGGGUUUAGAACGUCGUGAGACAGUUCGGUCCCUAUCUGCCGUGGGCGCUGGAGAACUGAGGGGGGCUGCUC
This 2564-nucleotide ribosomal RNA is filed under the name Shigella flexneri. RNAcentral's name for it is "partial 23S ribosomal RNA". It matches the Rfam family "Bacterial large subunit ribosomal RNA", at positions 87 to 2677 of the family's 2925-position model. The record is from RNAcentral. Lineage: Bacteria; Pseudomonadati; Pseudomonadota; Gammaproteobacteria; Enterobacterales; Enterobacteriaceae.